UUAAGAUUGGGUCAGUGUGGUUGAUUUAUAGCUAGUGAUGCACUUCUGUGUUUACAGCGAGCAUGGUUUGGACAGCGGUAGUAUAGUGGUAUAUAGCUGUAGAGUUUCUUACAGCUUAUUUUACUAUCUUUUACCUAUCAGUUUCAUACUUGUACUGUGGACUUAGUGGGUAGACCGUUGGGGUCGGUGACGAUACCCACUGAGGACUACUCUGUUUUGUAGUAGUUCUCACAUCCAUUGUUGCCAUCUUUUUGCAGAGCCUUCUACUGUUGCUGCUACUAGCUCUGAUCGAGGUAAGGGAUUCACGAGUUAGAUCCCUAUCUUCUCUAGUCAUUUUGCUAGAGGAGUACUCAUAGCAGAGAUAAUUUUGGAUGUUGCCAUAUACAUAUAGUUGUGUUUAGUUGUACUCUCUGAGAUGUGGUGGUACUUUUGGAACUUAUAUAUAUAGUAGGCUUUUUAUUAUAUAUAUGUUUCAGUUUUAACAGCUUUAUACUUCUUAUUGUAGCUAUUAUCUGUUUGCUGGUACAACUAUCGUUUCGUAUAUACAAAAAAAUUUUAUAUAUACGAUAAGUCUAUUGGUGAGAGCAGGAAACGUAAUAAUUCGAGGCGUGACAUUUUUAAUGUUUUUAACUUAUUGUAAAAUAAUAUGAAAAAUGAUGAAAUUUGAAUUUUAUCUCUCACUUAUAUAAAAUCAAACAGUCC
This 702-nucleotide long non-coding RNA is filed under the name Ananas comosus (pineapple). RNAcentral describes it as "long non-coding RNA (ACOM_LNC038371)". Lineage: Eukaryota; Viridiplantae; Streptophyta; Magnoliopsida; Poales; Bromeliaceae. The record is from RNAcentral.